AACAAGCACCUCAAGUGGUAAGGAGGAUUAUUGGGCCUAAAGCAUCCGUAGCAGGCUCUGCAAGUUUUCGGUUAAAUCCAAUUGCUCAACAAAUGAGCUGCAGAAUAUACUACAUAGCUAGGGAGUGGGAGAGGUAGACGGUAGUCGGUAGGAAGGGGUAAAAUCCUUUGAUCUAUUGAGGACCACCUAUGGCGAAGGCAGUCUACCAGAACACGUUCGACGGUGAGGGAUGAAAGCUGGGGGAGCAAACCGG
This 253-nucleotide ribosomal RNA is filed under the name uncultured archaeon. RNAcentral's name for it is "partial 16S ribosomal RNA". It matches the Rfam family "Archaeal small subunit ribosomal RNA", at positions 474 to 727 of the family's 1478-position model. The record is from RNAcentral.